Molecule: long non-coding RNA, 407 nt
Filed under: Mytilus galloprovincialis (Mediterranean mussel)
Lineage: Eukaryota; Metazoa; Mollusca; Bivalvia; Mytilida; Mytilidae
Source: RNAcentral
GGUGUAAAAUUGUUAAUCAGGUCAAGAUCUAUCUGCCCUGAAAUUUUCAGACAAAUCGGACAACCCGUUGUUUGGUUGCUGCCCCUGAAUUAGUAAUUUUAAGGAAAUUUUGCAGUUUUUGCUUAUUAUCUUGAAUAUUAUUAUAGAUAGAGAUAAACUGUAAACAGCGAUAAUGUUCAGCAAAGUAAUAUUUACAAAUAAGUCAACAUGACCAAAAUGGUCAGUUGACCCCUUAAGGAGUUAUUGCCCUUUAUAGUCAUUUUUUACCACUUUUUCGUAAUCUUUUGUAAUCUUUUACAAAAAUCUUCUCCUCUGAAACUACUGGACCAAGUUAAACCAAACUUGGCCUCAAUUAUCAUUGGAGUAUCUAGUUUAAAAAAUGUGUGGGGUAACCGGGCCAACCAACC